RNAcentral lists this long non-coding RNA (1587 nucleotides) under Cervus hanglu yarkandensis (Yarkand deer). RNAcentral's name for it is "lncRNA (ENSCHYG00000025810.1)". Lineage: Eukaryota; Metazoa; Chordata; Mammalia; Artiodactyla; Cervidae. The record is from RNAcentral.
UCCAAAUCUGCUCUGAAACAUUCAGUAACUGCACCAAAUUCAUUAACAAACACCACUGUCAACUUUGAACAUAUUUACUAUUCCAUUAGGAUUUUUCUAAAAGAAUUAAAAAAAAAAAAAAAUAUAUAUAUAUAUUUACACAUAUCCCCCCAAAUUUUUGACACAAUUUCUAUAGGAAGCCAUGAAUGAUGGCAUGAGUUUGCCAUAUCUUACAUGAUUUUAAAGAACACUCAAAAUAUUCAAGGAACUCUUCGAGUUUUGGUAUAAUAUUUCGAUUUAAUAUUAGCUUCAUUGAUGUUCUGCAUGGAAGGAUUUUUGUUUUCUACAUUUCCCAUCACUGGCAGAAUGAAAUCCAAGAGACCAAACACUUGCAAGCAUCAUAUUUGAGCACUUUUGUAAAAAAGAGGAAAAAAAGCUGAGAAAAAAAAAGAAAAAAGAAAUAAAAAAGAAAAAAAAUAUAAUACUUAAAAAAAAAAGUAUCUAGAAGGCUACCUCAGAAUGAGACUCUCUAACCUACAUCAGAACCAGAGAAGAAUGUGCACUAUGUGGGUCAGUUGUUUUCUUUGAGUUUGUAUCUUUUGGAGAAUUAUCCAAGUGCCAGAUUACUCAGUGCUAUACUUUUCAUUCAGUGAAACAAAGGGGGUCAGACGUUGCGUCAUGCAGACGUGCCGUGUUGGACAUGUAGGAUCUGAUGGUGUACUGCACGCCAGACCAUUGGCCAAUGAGCAGUUUCUCUCCCUGAAGCUGAAACUGCUCAUGUGGCAAAGGGGACGGGGAGAAUGAUCACAGGAAGAAAAUGUAUGGGAUGCACACCACAGACGAGCGAGGAGGAGACUAUUCCAGGUACCUUGCUAUUCAGGAGCUGUUCCGAGAACUAACUCCCUUACUGUCAUUGAUGUGCAUUCCACUGUGCUUUUCUGUACAACCAUUCUACUUUAUUUUCCCAGUUUCCUUUGGGUUUAUGGGUGCCCUGAUACUCCAGCAGAGAUCAGAAGGCUACAGAUCCAUCCUAUCCAUCUGUUAUGUGGCUUUGCCAUCCAAGCUUGGAGUGUCUUUACAAAGAUAAUAACAGUUGUGUUCUUUGCUCUCGUUUUGGAUGCAUAGACUGAAAAAUUAAAAAAAAUAACUUGUAAAAUGGCUUGUUAAAAAAAUACAAUUACCUCUAAUUAGUAGUACGCGUAAAUGUUUUACAGAAUGAAAGGCGUGCUUUUUAUUUUCUUACUUCGUUACAUUGGUGGCGAAAGAAGUCUGUAUGAAAAUCAGUUCUUUGCUGACACAAGUUCCAUUUGUUACAAAUGAAUUCUAAUAAAAACGUCAGUGUUAUGCAGCCCUGGCUUUUGCUUCUGUCCACUCAAGCACUUCGGUUUUGAAAUGAUUAUAUAUGUUCCCUCUUCUCCUUUGAUUAUCUAGUUAGUUCCUUGAUACUAAUAGUAAUUCUUCUUACCAAAAGGCUGCUAUCUACAGGUGUCUGCACUGAGGUGAACACCUUUCACUGGUAAGCAAACUGAUGCUUAAAGAAACAGUUUGCCCAAGUUUACAGGCAAAGAAAGAGGCCUUGGUAUCUCUCAAAUUAUAGAUGAUGGGCAA